UACAGAGGGUGCAAGCGUUAAUCGGAAUUACUGGGCGUAAAGCGUGCGUAGGCGGUUCCUCAAGUCCGUUGUGAAAGCCCCGGGCUCAACCUGGGAAUGGCAGUGGAAACUAGGGGACUGGAAUCUGGCAGAGGGGGGUGGAAUGCCGCGUGUAGCGGUGAAAUGCGCAGAUAUCGGGAGGAACACCGGUGGCGAAGGCGGCGACCUGGGACAAUACUGACGCUGAGGUGCGAAAGCGUGGGGAGCAAACAGG
This 253-nucleotide ribosomal RNA is filed under the name uncultured bacterium. RNAcentral describes it as "partial 16S ribosomal RNA". It matches the Rfam family "Bacterial small subunit ribosomal RNA", at positions 524 to 776 of the family's 1533-position model. The record is from RNAcentral.